Molecule: unclassified non-coding RNA, 269 nt
Filed under: Hevea brasiliensis (rubber tree)
Lineage: Eukaryota; Viridiplantae; Streptophyta; Magnoliopsida; Malpighiales; Euphorbiaceae
Source: RNAcentral
UUUUGGGAGUGGAUAGGCUCGAUUUACAUCGUUCCUUGGAUGAAGUGAAGAACGAUGGUGCAAAGGUGGCUGACCGUAUCUAUAAGCAGUCUGAUGUCUGGAAGUUAUUCUAGGCUCCUUGGGUCUUUCAUUGGCUGCCUCAAUCUGUUCUAGUUUCUCCACUACUUCUUUCAUUCCUGGUCUGGUUUUUGGUUCAGGUCCAAGACAUGACAGUGCCAGUUGUGCUAUUUGAACUGCAGCUCUGGAUGGAUAUCUUCCUUCCAGCCGCG